Lagopus muta (rock ptarmigan) is the source of this 667-nucleotide long non-coding RNA. RefSeq lists it as uncharacterized. The record is from RefSeq and is a predicted model, not a curated record. Lineage: Eukaryota; Metazoa; Chordata; Aves; Galliformes; Phasianidae. The transcript has 4 exons.
CUGGUGUUUUGUGGUGAGCCCAACAUAAGGGUUUUUUUUCUGCUAAUAAAUAUUAGCUCGCUGAAUGAAAACAAGGCAAACAUAAGAACGCCUCUACUUCAAGUGAUUAGAGCAAUCAGGCAUGUCCUGAAACCUCCAGACUGCAGCAUAGGAUCUACAAAAAGCCCAUCCAAUGGAAAUGAAGAUGUUAGCCUAAUCUGUGAUAUUACCCACAUCACACUUGGUGCUUCUUCACAGGAGCAUUCCUCAUCAUAACAAACCAAAGCUCCAAGAGGGCCUUCCUUAACUGACUGAUGGACACUGCCCAGUUUCACUAUGGGUAGAUGUGGGACAUAUAUCCUCCAGCCCUGAGGAGGAGGUGACGUUCAAGUGUGGAUGAGGACUGCAAUCCUUUAGAAGUUUCUAUUGGGAAAUGACGGGACAGCCACGAUGUAGCUGCUUUGUGGCAGCAGCAAGAUGCUGCUGGAUACUCAGGCUUUGGCUGGAAAUGCUCCUCUCCUGCUGGGACCACAGAACACCGCCUGAAUCAGCAAACAGAGUGAGCUACGCCAGUGCUCUCACGAAGAUUCCUUCAGAUGAUACAUGCUUAUUUUUCUCAGAACAGAAAUGAGAAGAACUUACUUUUAUAUCAGACCUCCCUUAGACUGUUGGAGUGGGUGUUUUUUUU